This 417-nucleotide ribosomal RNA is filed under the name uncultured bacterium. RNAcentral's name for it is "bacterial SSU rRNA". It matches the Rfam family "Bacterial small subunit ribosomal RNA", at positions 30 to 452 of the family's 1533-position model. The record is from RNAcentral.
AUUGAACGCUGGCGGCAUGCCUUACACAUGCAAGUCGAACGGCAGCACGGACUUCGGUCUGGUGGCGAGUGGCGAACGGGUGAGUAAUGUAUCGGAACGUACCUUUCAGUGGGGGGUAACGUAGCGAAAGUUACGCUAAUACCGCAUAUUCUGUGAGCAGGAAAGCAGGGGAUCGCAAGACCUUGCGCUGAUUGAGCGGCCGAUAUCAGAUUAGCUAGUUGGUGGGGUAAAGGCCUACCAAGGCUACGAUCUGUAGCGGGUCUGAGAGGAUGAUCCGCCACACUGGAACUGAGACACGGUCCAGACUCCUACGGGAGGCAGCAGUGGGGAAUAUUGGACAAUGGGGGCAACCCUGAUCCAGCCAUGCCGCGUGUGUGAAGAAGGCCUCGGUUGUAAGCACUUUGUUGGGUAGAACGG